Molecule: ribosomal RNA, 497 nt
Filed under: uncultured bacterium
Lineage: Bacteria
Description: partial 16S ribosomal RNA
Rfam family: Bacterial small subunit ribosomal RNA
Source: RNAcentral
GAUGAACGCUGGCGGCGUGCCUAAUACAUGCAAGUCGAGCGAACAGAUGAGGAGCUUGCUCCUCUGACGAUAGCCGCGCACGGGUGAGUAACACGUGGAUAACCUACCUAUAAUACUGGGAUAACUUCGGGACACGGGAGCUAAUACGGUAGAAUAUCUUGAACCGCAUGGUUCAAUAGUGAAAGACGGCUUUGCGGUCACGUAUAGAUGGAUCCGCGCCGCAUUAGCUAGUUGGUAAGGUCACGGCUUACCAAGGCAACGAUGCGUAGACGAGCUGAGAGGGUGAUCGGCGACACUGGAGGUGGGACACGGACCAUGGGCCUACGGGAGGCAGCAGUAGGGAAUCGUCCGCAGUAGGCGAGAGCAUUACGGAGCGACGCGACGUGAGUUAUGACGGCGUCGGGAGCGUGAUACUGUGUUAUUGGGUAAGAACAAAUGUGUAAGUAACUGUGCACGGCUUGACGGUACCUGGUCAGAAAGCCACGGCUAACUACGUG